This is a long non-coding RNA of Lolium perenne, 923 nucleotides long. RefSeq lists it as uncharacterized. NCBI's taxonomy places the organism in Eukaryota, Viridiplantae, Streptophyta, Magnoliopsida, Poales, Poaceae. The record is from RefSeq and is a predicted model, not a curated record.
CGGGUGACCAAAUCACGCGCCGCAGACCAGCACCCACCACUCCCAUCGCCUUGCCCUCCCCACCCAUCCCAUCCCGUACGGCCCGCCGCCGGCCCGCAGCUCCUCCGUCUCCCCCACAUCCGGUCACCACCGCCCUCCUGCGCGCGCGCCCACCAACCACUCGCUACCCCCGUUCGUCUCCCCUGCCUGAACCCUAGACGCCCCGCGCCACCAGCCGCCGCCGCUAAAUCCAGAUCGCCUGCCGGCAGGGGUCGACCACGACGUGCAGCACGACAGAUCCAGCCCUCGCGCGCUCACCGGUCGCGUCCAAGGUCGUCGACCCAAACCACACAGCGGCAGCGCGGCAGGCUUGCUCGCCGGCACGACGUGCGGCGUCCCGUCUAACUCGCCUGCUCGCCCGCGUCCGUCUGCGCGGGUGGUGGCCGAGGGAAGCCAGGACGACGUCGGCCGGGAGAUGCCGCUUCCUCCUCAUCCUCCGCCGCAGCAGCGUCUCCUACGACGUCGAUCUGCACUCCGUCGGCUAGGACACCCGGACACCGUGAGAUUAGCCCCCCGGCUCCAUUUCCUCCGACGUUGAACCAGGUCGCGCCCGCACGACGCCGGUAGGUCACAAAGACUUGAAAUCUCCUGAGAAAUUUAACCACCAUGUCUGCUGCUAUGGUUGCUGUAUGUUUUCAGCGAGGUCAUGUUGGUGUCUUGUGGUGGCGUUUUGUUGGUGGUGCUGUCCAUGGAGAACAACUCUUCAGCGAAGAACAACAUUUGAUUUUGCUCAGGUCAAACAUUUUAUCAAGAAAAUGCAGGUUGUGUUGAUCAGAUCUGGUGUAGUAAAUCACCAUGUUCAUAAAUAGUAGUAAAUCAUCUACACAUGUAUGUGCCUUUGUCGAAUCUUAUCUCUGAGAUGUCCAGUUUGAUUUACUGCAUUA